RNAcentral lists this ribosomal RNA (796 nucleotides) under bacterium WP2ISO32. Its description in RNAcentral is "bacterial SSU rRNA". It matches the Rfam family "Bacterial small subunit ribosomal RNA", at positions 38 to 880 of the family's 1533-position model. The record is from RNAcentral.
GGCGGCAGGCCUAACACAUGCAAGUCGAGCGAGACCUUCGGGUCUAGCGGCGGACGGGUUAGUAACGCGUGGGAACGUGCCCUUCUCUGCGGAAUAGCCACUGGAAACGGUGAGUAAUACCGCAUACGCCCUUCGGGGGAAAGAUUUAUCGGAGAAGGAUCGGCCCGCGUUAGAUUAGAUAGUUGGUGGGGUAACGGCCUACCAAGUCUACGAUCUAUAGCUGGUUUUAGAGGAUGAUCAGCAACACUGGGACUGAGACACGGCCCAGACUCCUACGGGAGGCAGCAGUGGGGAAUCUUAGACAAUGGGCGCAAGCCUGAUCUAGCCAUGCCGCGUGUGUGAUGAAGGUCUUAGGAUCGUAAAGCACUUUCGCCAGGGAUGAUAAUGACAGUACCUGGUAAAGAAACCCCGGCUAACUCCGUGCCAGCAGCCGCGGUAAUACGGAGGGGGUUAGCGUUGUUCGGAAUUACUGGGCGUAAAGCGCGCGUAGGCGGAUUGGAAAGUUGGGGGUGAAAUCCCGGGGCUCAACCCCGGAACUGCCUCCAAAACUAUCAGUCUAGAGUUCGAGAGAGGUGAGUGGAAUUCCAAGUGUAGAGGUGAAAUUCGUAGAUAUUUGGAGGAACACCAGUGGCGAAGGCGGCUCACUGGCUCGAUACUGACGCUGAGGUGCGAAAGUGUGGGGAGCAAACAGGAUUAGAUACCCUGGUAGUCCACACCGUAAACGAUGAAUGCCAGUCGUCGGGGCAGUAUACUGUUCGGUGACACACCCAACGGAUUAAGCAUUCCGCCUGGGGAG